GCCGGGCAAAGUGGCACUCGCCUGUAAUUCCAGUGACUCAGGAGGCUAGACAGGAGGAUCAUGGGUUCAAAGCCAGCCUCAGCAAUGUCGAGGCACUAAGCAACUCAAUGAGAUCCUGUCUGUA
This 124-nucleotide small RNA is filed under the name Marmota monax (woodchuck). Lineage: Eukaryota; Metazoa; Chordata; Mammalia; Rodentia; Sciuridae. The record is from RNAcentral.